CUGCUCUUUCUCCGCACACACCUCUGUUAGACAAAGUCUCCCUUGGCUGGACUUCCAGGCCUUUCAGGACGGGGACUCAGCCUUAUUCAGAUCUCUGUCUCUUGUACGAGUCUAUUCACUCACCCAUCCGUCCAUCCAGCAAAUGUUACUGAGCAGCUAUUACAGGCCCUGGAGAUAUGACAACGAACAGAACAGGCAAAAUCCCUGCCCUCACAGAGCUAACGCUCCAGUAAGGACAGACACAGUAAGUGAAAGAUAGAGGAGCGGACACAGGAGUGUGGGUGUGUGUGCAGUUGUUCAGGGAAGACUUUCUUGAGAAAAUGACAUUGGGGCAAAGACUCGAAGGAGGUGAGGGAGUGAGCCAGGGUUACCAGCAGGAAGAGUAUUCCAGGCAGAGGGAACAGCAUAUACAACGGCUUGGAGGCAAGGGGAUGCCUGGCAUGCUAAGGACUAGCAAGGAGGCUAGCAAGGCCUGAGCAGGGAGCACUGUGCAGGUGGAGAUCCUGCAGCUCGGCACCUGCCAGAUCUGGGUCUGAACCUCGGUCCUGCUCUUCCCUAACUGGUGACCUGAAGGCUCUUGGUUAUACAGUCGGGACAAUACCACUACCUCACAGGGCCUUCUGAGGCUGAAACUCAACUACACCUUUAAUGACAUGUCCACGAAGGUUGAAGGAGACCGACAGGCCUGGUCCACCCACCUCCACUGGAGUAGAAGCUUCAUGAAGGCUGGAGAUUUUGUCUGUUUUGUCCACCACUAAAUCCCCAGACCCAGAAUAGUGCCGUCAACAAGGGCCUCAAAGACCUCACAAUUAAACAAACAUACUGUGAUGAUACAUGUCUUGAAAGGCAAACGCAGGGAGCUAAGCGAGCUCUUGGCGAGGAAGCCGAAUGCGGACCCGGAGAAUAGCAGGGAGGGCUUCCUGGAGGAACUCACAGCUGAGACCUGCGGACCAGUAGGAGUUAACCAAGGAGUGUUCCAGGCAGAGAGAACAGCAUGUGCGAAAGCCCAGAGGCUGGAGAGAGCAAAUUAUUUUGAAGGAUUUCAAGACGGCUAGAACAGAGCAUUAGGAGGGAUAAAGCGGCAGCGUGUGGAAGGACCUUAAACUCCAAGACAAGGACACGGCAGUAAAGGAUGAUGUGGCCGAACCCCCGGUUCCGCGGUGAGCAGACCCCAGAUGAGGAAACAGAGGCCCAGAGAGAUACAGCCCUUGGGCGAAGGUCACCCACGUUAGGGCGUAGCUGGGACUUUGAACCCAGUGCCCUGGGUGCGCAUCUGCCGGCAGCCCUGCCCCUCUCCCCGCCGAGGCCCUAAGAGGAGGACUUUCUCUCUCCUCUGACCGGCUCAGGUAGUUACCAUCUGCGCCACUCAUGCGGCCCUUCCUCACUACUGCCCUUGCAA
RNAcentral lists this long non-coding RNA (1399 nucleotides) under Equus caballus (horse). RNAcentral's name for it is "lncRNA (ENSECAG00000051886.1)". Lineage: Eukaryota; Metazoa; Chordata; Mammalia; Perissodactyla; Equidae. The record is from RNAcentral.